UCAAGCGCGAUAAGGGCGUUUGGUGGAUGCCUUGGCAGCAAGAGGCGAUGAAGGACGUGGCACUCUGCGAUAAGCCCGGGGGAGGCGAGAGCACCCUUUGAUCCCGGGAUGUCCGAAUGGGGAAACCCACCUGACAGUCACUGAUUGCGAGAAGCCGGACGGAGCGCGCACAGCGUUCCGGCCAGGAUGGCUUUUCCCGAUCGGGGGCUGAACCAGGUACUUUUGACCUGAACACAUAGGGUUAAAAGAGCGAACCCGGGGAACUGAAACAUCUCAGUACCCGGAGGAAAGGAAAUCAACCGAUACUCCGCUAGUAGUGGCGAGCGAACGCGGACCAGCCGAGCCGAGAGCGUCAGCAGAACCAGCUGGAAUGCUGGGCGAUAUGGGUGACAGCCCCGUAUGCGACGAUGCUCGAGGACGUAUCAAGUAGGGCGGGACACGUGCAAUCCUGUCUGAAGAUCGGGGGACCACCCUCGAAGGCUAAGUACUCCUUGCUGACCGAUAGCGAACCAGUACCGUGAGGGAAAGGUGAAAAGCACCCCGACAAGGGGAGUGAAACAGUCCCUGAAACCGGACGCCUACAAACAGUCGGAGCUUCUCGAGGACCUUCGGGUCAUCGGGUUGGUGACGGCGUACCUUUUGUAUAAUGGGUCAACGACUUGGUCUCACAUGCGAGCUUAAGCCGGUAGGUGUAGGCGCAGCGAAAGCGAGUCUGAACAGGGCGCUUGAGUAUGUGGGAUCAGACCCGAAACCGAGUGAUCUAGGCAUGUCCAGGAUGAAGGUGCGGUAACACGCACUGGAGGUCCGAACCCACACCUGUUGAAAAAGGUCGGGAUGAGGUGUGCCUAGGGGUGAAAGGCCAAUCAAACUCGGAGAUAGCUGGUUCUCCGCGAAAUCUAUUUAGGUAGAGCGUCAGAUGAAUACCCCCGGGGGUAGAGCACUGCAUGGGCUAUGGGGACUCACCGUCUUACUGAUCCUAAGCAAACUCCGAAUACCGGGGCGUAGUGUCUGGCAGACAGACGUCGGGUGCUAACGUCCGGCGUCGAGAGGGAAACAACCCUGACCUGCAGCUAAGGCCCCCAAUUCGUGGCUAAGUGGGAAAGCAUGUGAGACGGCCAAAACAACCAGGAUGUUGGCUUAGAAGCAGCCAUCAUUUAAAGAAAGCGUAACAGCUCACUGGUCUAGACAAGCUGUCUUGCGGCGAAGAUGUACCGGGGCUCAAGCCACGAGCCGAAGCUCAGGGUGUGCGGCGCAAGCCGUGCGCGGUAGCGGAGCGUUCCGUGAAGCAGUGCCAUGUCUCUUCAGCCUCGUUCCGAGGCUUCGGAGACACGGCGCUCGACUGUGAAGCCGGGCCGUGAGGCAUCCGGUGGAGUGAUCGGAAGCGAGAAUGUUGACAUGAGUAGCGACAAACAGGGUGAGAGACCCUGUCGCCGAAAGUCCAAGGGUUCCUGCUUAAAGCUAAUCUGAGCAGGGUGAGCCGACCCCUAAGGCGAGGCCGAGAGGCGUAGUCGAUGGGAACCGGGUUAAUAUUCCCGGGCCAGGAGGAAGUGACGGAUCGCGGCUGUUGUCGUCCCUUAUCGGAUUGGGGCGGCCUCGAUGCGGUUCCUGGAAACAGCCCUCCAUCAGAUCGUACCCGAAACCGACACAGGUGGACUGGUAGAGCAUACCAAGGCGCUUGAGAGAACUGCGUUGAAGGAACUCGGCAAAAUGCCUCCGUAACUUCGGGAGAAGGAGGCCCCGUUGGCGCGCAAGCGUUGGCGGGGGGCACAGACCAGGGGGUGGCGACUGUUUACUAAAAACACAGGUCUCUGCGAAGCCGUAAGGCGACGUAUAGGGACUGACGCCUGCCCGGUGCCGGAAGGUUAAAAGGAGGGGUGCAAGCUCCGAAUUGAAGCCCCGGUAAACGGCGGCCGUAACUAUAACGGUCCUAAGGUAGCGAAAUUCCUUGUCGGGUAAGUUCCGACCUGCACGAAUGGCGUAACGACUUCCCCGCUGUCUCCAACGCAGACUCAGCGAAAUUGAACUCCCCGUGAAGAUGCGGGGUUCCCGCGGUCAGACGGAAAGACCCCGUGCACCUUUACUACAGCUUCACACUGGCAUCAGGCCAGGCAUGUGCAGGAUAGGUGGCAGGCUUUGAAGCGGGGACGCCAGUUCCCGGGGAGCCUCCCUUGAGAUACCACCCUUGCCUUGCCUGAUGUCUAACCGCGGACCGUCAUCCGGUUCCGGGACCCUGUGUGGCGGGUAGUUUGACUGGGGCGGUCGCCUCCCAAAGAGUAACGGAGGCGCGCGAUGGUGGGCUCAGGCUGGUCGGAAAUCAGCCGUCGAGUGCAAUGGCAUAAGCCCGCCUGACUGCGAGACUGACAAGUCGAGCAG
Molecule: ribosomal RNA, 2373 nt
Filed under: activated sludge metagenome
Description: bacterial LSU rRNA
Rfam family: Bacterial large subunit ribosomal RNA
Source: RNAcentral